CACAGCAGGUAAUGUAACUAAUGCUAAGUUGUGGGUUUGCAAACAGUUGCAAGUUACAGUUGCUGCUGCAAAGUUAACAUGCAGAGAGGACGAGAGGGUCCCAGAGCCAGCACACCAGCUCCAAACAGCGAUACUCACACCUCUCCGGCUACUAUACCAAACAUCACAACAACAGCAUAACUAAGUCAGGGCCGUGUAUUCUUUUCAGCGCACACAAAGAACGGACAGCUAGAGGACCAUGAAGAGAUAUUUGCUGAAUUUGACAAAAAGACGUGUAUUGGAUUAGAACCACAUAAACAACCUUUAAUGACUAUGACUUCUGCCCACAAACACAAGCGGUUAAAGACAACAUGUUUAA
This is a long non-coding RNA of Micropterus dolomieu (smallmouth bass), 358 nucleotides long. RefSeq lists it as uncharacterized. Lineage: Eukaryota; Metazoa; Chordata; Actinopteri; Centrarchiformes; Centrarchidae. The transcript has 2 exons. The record is from RefSeq and is a predicted model, not a curated record.